CAGCCGCCACGGUAAUACGAAGGGGGCUAGCGUUGUUCGGAUUUACUGGGCGUAAAGGGCGCGUAGGCGGACUGAUAAGUCAGGGGUGAAAUCCCAAGGCUCAACCUUGGAACUGCCUUUGAUACUGUUUGUCUUGAGUUCGAGAGAGGUGAGUGGAAUUUCCGGUGUAGCGGUGAAAUGCGUAGAUAUCGGAAGGAACACCUGUGGCGAAAGCGGCUCACUGGACCAUUUCUGACGCUGAUGCACGAAAGCUAGGGGAGCAAACAGGAUUAGAUACCCCAGUAGUCCCUGUCUCUUAUAC
RNAcentral lists this ribosomal RNA (301 nucleotides) under uncultured bacterium. RNAcentral describes it as "partial 16S ribosomal RNA". It matches the Rfam family "Bacterial small subunit ribosomal RNA", at positions 509 to 807 of the family's 1533-position model. The record is from RNAcentral.